RNAcentral lists this ribosomal RNA (440 nucleotides) under uncultured bacterium. RNAcentral describes it as "partial 16S ribosomal RNA". It matches the Rfam family "Bacterial small subunit ribosomal RNA", at positions 338 to 795 of the family's 1533-position model. The record is from RNAcentral.
CCUACGGGAGGCAGCAGUGGGGAAUAUUGCACAAUGGGCGAAACCCUGAUGCAGCGACGCCGCGUGAGCGAUGAAGUAUUUAGGUAUGUUAAGCUCUAUCAGCAGGGAAGAAAAUGACGGUACCUGACUAAGAAGCUCCGGCUAACUACGUGCCAGCAGCCGCGGUACUACGUAGGGGGCAAGCGUUAUCCGGAUUUACUGGGUGUAAAGGGAGCGUAGACGGCUGUGCAAGCCAGAUGUGAAAGCCCGGGGCUCAACCCCGGGACUGCAUUUGGAACUGUGUGGCUGGAGUGUCGGAGAGGCAGGCGGAAGUCCUGGUGUAGCGGUGAAAUGCGUAGAUAUUAGGAGGAACACCAGUGGCGAAGGCGGCCUGCUGGACGAUGACUGACGUUGAGGCUCGAAAGCGUGGGGAGCAAACAGGAUUAGAUACCCUAGUAGUC